RNAcentral lists this ribosomal RNA (253 nucleotides) under uncultured bacterium. RNAcentral describes it as "partial 16S ribosomal RNA". It matches the Rfam family "Bacterial small subunit ribosomal RNA", at positions 524 to 776 of the family's 1533-position model. The record is from RNAcentral.
UACGUAGGGGGCAAGCGUUGUCCGGAAUCAUUGGGCGUAAAGCGCGUGUAGGCGGUUCAGUCAGUCUGCUGUGAAAGUCCAGGGCUCAACCCUGGGAUGCCGGUGGAUACUGCUGGGCUAGAGUACGGAAGAGGCGAGUGGAAUUCCCGGUGUAGCGGUGAAAUGCGCAGAUAUCAGGAGGAACACCGGUGGCGAAGGCGGUUGCCUGGGGCUUUGCUGACGCUGAUGCGCGAAAGCGUGGGGAGCGAGCCGG